This 5378-nucleotide long non-coding RNA is filed under the name Coffea arabica (coffee). RNAcentral's name for it is "long non-coding RNA (CARA_LNC008111)". Lineage: Eukaryota; Viridiplantae; Streptophyta; Magnoliopsida; Gentianales; Rubiaceae. The record is from RNAcentral.
UCGGUUCUCUCCUUUCUUUUUUCUCUUUUCGGCCACCAACCAGGUUCCCCCCCUAUUCAGCCGCCAAACCCUCCUCUUUGUCUUGCCUUUUUUUCAAGCCCCGUUGCCCUUUUUUUCUCUUUCUUUUCCUUUUCAAAAUAUCUAUCCUACAAGUGUCUAGACACCUCACCAUCUAGGUGAGGUGUUGUCAAAUGCAAAAAGGGACACUUGUCUCUAUCCAUGAUCCCCACUUGUCAUUAUUUUUUUUUUGCUUUUUCUUUUUCUCUCUUUUUUUAGUACGAAGACAAAAAUAAAUAAUAAAAUAAAAUGAACUAGAACAAAAUAAAAUAAAAAAAAAUAAAAAUAAAAGCCCUAGAAUUGAAACAAAUAAACCUAUUAAAUUAAUUAAACAAAAUAAAAUUUAAAAAACAAAAAUUUGGUGUCUACACAUAGUUUCAAUAAAAAUAAUCAUUUUCCCAACAUUUGAGACCAAUCAUCAUGUUUUUUUUUUAUUUUUAAUUUGGUUUGAAGCAUAGAUUUUAUUGCUAUAGUAUUAUUCUUUAUUUUUUAGUACAAAAACACAAAUUUUUAUCAAUAUAGGUGGCAAAAUUUGUUAAUUACAUAUAAGUGAAAAUAUACUUUUAUAAUUUGCAAAUAUUUUAGCCCUGCAAUUUUUUAUAAUUGCAGCACUAAAGUACAUCAUUAAUUGAAAAUAACGAAAGUCAAAUUUUAUGGUUAUAACAGACUUUCAUUAAAAAUAAUCAAAUGCUAUUAAUAAGACAUUAUUAUUAAGUCAAAAUCAAAGAAAAUUUAGUGACGACAUAAUGUUAUCACUAAUUUAUUCAAGAUUAUAAUGACAAGAAAAGUCGUCACUAAUUAAAUUGCUAGUUUUUAAUAUUGUCAAUUGCUAGUUUUUAAUACUUUUGUGAAAAUAUUGAUAAUGGUUGAGAAAAUUUUGUUACAUUACUGCAAGUGAUAAAUGUACUUUUGUUCUUUUUCAAACAUUUAUUUUAAUGUUUAAUUUUGUUUAAAAUUAUUGUACUAGUAUAGAUUUGCAAGACAAAACUUAAGUUCUCAAUAGUUAAAAAAUUCAUUACAGAGAAAACACAAAGUAGUAGUUACAAAAUGUGUAUAAAUUACAGAUAUUUUGUUAAUUGCUUUGUAGUACUUUGUUAUUCCUCUGCUAAUACUACUUGGCAUGUAGUACAAAGGAUAAAUCUGUCAUAAAUUUCUUAUUCCAUUGAUAAAAAGACCUGCCUGCCUUAUAACUAUUGUAAUGAAAGAUAUAUCUUUAGAAUUUAUAACAAAUUAUUACUUAAGUUUGAGAAAAUUAUAAAAUAUUUAUGCAUAGUUUAUCAAGAUACCAUUCGCAAUUUCCUAAUAAAAAAUAGGGGCUAAAUUGUAAAAGCUAGGGUGCCAUAAUAGAAAUAAUAAAAUUGGUGUAUUACAUAUGGGGGUUAAAUUGCAAAAGUUAGAGUGCCAUAGUAGAAUUAAUGAAAUUGGUGAAUUACAUAUGGGGCUAAAUUACAAAAGUUAGGGAGUAAUAAUAGAAUUAAUGAAAUCGGUGUACUACAUAUGGGGCUAAAUUGAAAAAGUUAAGGUAUCAUAAUGGAAUUAAUGAAAUUUAUUACAACAUUUGGGGCUAAAUCGCAAAAGUUAGGGUGGCACAGUAGAAUUAAUGAAAGUGACUUAGAAAUAAGUACUUUAAACAGUGACGAUUAAUUCUUGUCACUAAAUCCGAAUCGGUAGAGUGACAGUGACGAUAUUAGAAGUUGUCACUAUAUAGAUCAUUUUAGUGACAACUUUUUCAAGGUUGUCACUGAAGACUUAGUUGCUUUGAGCAAUUAUGACAACUUUCCUUGUCGUCACUAAAUAACCACUUUUUGUGACGACUUUUGUCGUCACUAAAAAAUGUUGUCACUAAUGACCAUAUUUCUUGCAAUGUAGUUUGUGACGAAAAUAACGGGUCGUCACUAAACAUUUAGUUGCUUUGAUGCAAUUGUGACAACUUUAGGUGUCGCGACUAAAGAAACCCCUUUUGUGACGACUUAUUGUCAUCACUAGAGAAUGUUGUCACUAAUAACCUUUUUUUUAGUGAUCAGUGACGACAACAAAAAGUUGUCCGUAACUAGGCCAAGCAAUAGUGAUGAUGUUUUUAAUGUCGUCACUAUUGUGUGUUCCAAACACUCCCGCGCUCUUGCUAAAUCUUGGCGGGAAUUUACUAGUGACGACUUUUCUAAGUUGUCACAAAUGAGUUGGCUCCCAUUAGAGGUUUGUGACGAGUUAGAAAGUCAAAUAUUACCCUUUUGUUGCAAGAUCAAAUCAGAAAAUCUGGUUUGGUGACAGCUAGCAAAAACAAAGGGGUAGCAGUGGUUUUCAAAAUAACAAAACAAAAAUGCAGCGAAAAUGUUUAACUCUUGUUUGAAGUGCCGAACCAAAACAUUCAAGAAAACAUGCUAAAGAUCAGAUCUUGAAUUUGAACAAAAUACUAAACAUGCUAAUCCAACACCACUUAUCUAAUCCACCUUUUCAAUAUAAGACCAAUCAGCAGGUUGGAUGGCUGAAACUUGGUGAGCAAUUGCAGAAAAAAAAAACAGCAAAGAGGACUGCAAAAAUUUUAUUCUGCUGCAGAUUUGAUGCUCAUCAAAAUGCAACCAAAAUGGCUUAGAGCUCUGCCAUAACUUCAAACAAACUCACAAGAUAAAAAUCUUAGGCACAACCAUAAUCUUGCAAUAAAAACUCAGUAUUCACAGCAAAACAACCUCGCAGAUCAUCGGAUGAAGGAAACUAACAGCUUUCAUUCAAAAAUGGCAGAAAUGAAACAACAAUAGCCAAACUGAAAAACAUAUUCUACUAAAGGGAAAUUGAUACGGGUCAACUUAUUCAUAUGCUAAGUGUAGAAUCCUUUGAAAAGAACAUACAAAGCCAUGAGAAACUUUUCUUUUGAGCAACAAAUAUUCUCUGCAAUAAUUUUAUUCCCAACCGUGGCUUUCUUCUAAUUCAUCAUUUCAAAUCUAUUGCACAACCACAAGGGAAAAGCAGGGAGCUACAGCAUACCAUCAAAACCCAACCUCUUGCAUAAUUGCCAAAAACGUCAACUACCCAACUCUAGUAAACAAAAUUUCUGGGAUAAGAACACGCAAAAUGCAAGCAAAAUCGUCUUCAAGCAAGACUGUCGGUUAGGUAUUUCGUCAAACACCACAUGAGCAUAAGAAAUUUUAGCUAAUCUCUCGCUCAAUUGAUGUAAAGCAGCACCCAAAAUUAUCAGAAAUCCCAAGAAAAUCCAACCAAAUCAACACAUAAAACACGUAUAAUCAUAAAAUUAUGGACCAUCAACAGGGGAAACGCAACAACCAAGUCAUGGCAGACCCAUUUGAAAAACUUUCCAAAACUUGUGAUCAAGGAAAAAAAAUGAAAUACAAAUGAAAGGGAUAACUUACGGUGGACUGCUAGCGGCGGUGCUCUUCUGGCAGCAGGACUGGAGGCAGUCGGGGAUGGCGGUGUCCUUGAGAUCGACUGAGAUAGGCAGAGUAAGCCUUAGCGUUUGAUUAUAGGGGGUUUUCCGGCGGCUUGGGGGGGGCUUAAGCCCCCACCAGCCCCCCCUUAAAUCCGUGGCUGAUUGCACAACCACAAGGGAAAAGCAGGGAGCUACAGCAUGCCAUCUUAGCAAAAACAAAACCCAACCUCUAGCAUAAUUACCAAAAACUUCAACUACCCAACUCUGGUAAACAAAAUUUCUGGGAUAAGAACAACGCAAAACGCAAGCAAAAAUCAUCUUCAAAGCAGGACUUUCGGUUAGGCAUUUCGUCGAACAGCAAAUAGGCACCAAAAUUUCACCGACUUUUUUUGCUCAAUUAAGGUCAUUUUCAGCCCCAAAAGUUUGCCAGAAACACAGCAAACAGUCCAAUUAACACAUAUAGCAUGCGUAUUAAAAAAUCAUGAACAAACAACCGAAAAUUGCAACCAAACACAGUCACGGCAGCCUGUUUCAAAGGCUUGAACAAAACUGAAGUUUUAAAGAAGAAAAGACAGCUUACCGUGCUCUUGCUUGAUGAAAAUUGGCCGGUGAUGAUGGUGGAUUCGGUGAAGUGGCGGCGCUGGCGGUGGUCGACGGCAGUGGUGAUUCUGGUUCUUACUCUCCUCUGCCUCCGUUUUGAUUUUUCCCUAGCCCGAAGCUUCUUUCUUCCUCUUGUUCUGGUUCCUGCUCUUGUCUUCCUCUCAGAAACUCCCCGAAGUUCUCCCUUUCACUUUCGCGUCUCCCUUUUCUCUAACCCUAGCAGUCCAUUUUCCUCUUAGUUUUCUGCUUUGUUCCGCCGCCCCUUGUCUUUCCUUUGCUUUGUUCUUUUUAGCCCAAACCUCUCUCGGCCUUCUCUGUUUUUCCCCACCGAAGCCCCCCUCUCGGUUCUCUCCUUUUUCUUCUCCUUGUUCUCAGCCCCUCUGUUUUCCCCUUGCGUUUUUGCUCUUUUUUCCUCCUCUGCCCGUCAGCCGCCACCCUCUUUUCCUUUUCUCUGUUUUUUGUUUUCGUUGAGCUUCCCUCUCCGUCCUUUUCCCUUCACUCAGCCGAAGCCUCUCCUCAGCCUUCAGCCGCUAAACUUCCCAUUUUUUCCUUUCAAUCUUUCUCUUUCUUUUUCUUUAGCCUCCGAUGAAGCACCUCCUUUUUUUCCUUUUCGUUUUCCACGGUUCCUUUUCAUCCGCCACCCCCUUGGUUUUUCUUUUACUCUGUUUUUUCCAGCCGUCCUCCCCUCUCGGUUCUCUCCUUUCUUUUUUCUCUUUUCGGCCACCAACCAGGUUCCCCCCCUACUCAGCCGCCAAACCCUCCUCUUUGUCUUGCCUUUUUUUUUCAAGCCCCGUUGCCCUUUUCUUCUCUUUCUUUUCCUUUUCAAAAUAUCUAUCCUACAAGUGUCUAGACACCUCACCAUCUAGGUGAGGUGAGGUGUUGUCAAAUGCAAAAAGGGACACUUGUCUCUAUCCAUGAUCCCCAUUUGUCAUUAUUUUUUUUUUGCUUUUUCUUUUUCUCUUUUUUUUUAGUACGAGACAAAAAUAAAUAAUAAAAUAAAAUGAAUUAGAGCAAAAUAAAAUAAAAUAAAAUAAAAAUAAAAAUAAAAGCCCUAGAAUUGAAACAAAUAAACCUAUUAAAUUAAUUAAACAAAAUAAAAUUAAAAAAACAAAAAUUUGGUGUCUACACAUAGUUUCAAUAAAAAUAAUCAUUUUCCCAACAUUUGAGACCAAUCAUCAUGUUUUUUUUUAUUUUUAAUUUGGUUUGAAGCAUAGAUUUUAUUGCUAUAGUAUUAUUCUUUAUUUUUUAGUACAAAAACACAAAUUUUCGUCAAUAUAGGUGGCAAAAUUUGUUAAUUACAUAUAAGUGAAAAUAUACUUUUAUAAUUUGCAAAUAUUUUAGC